GGAUGUGGCUCAGGCGGUAGCGCGCUCGCCUGGCAUGCGUGCAACCCGGGUUCGAUCCUCAGCACCA
This 67-nucleotide transfer RNA is filed under the name Marmota monax (woodchuck). RNAcentral describes it as "tRNA.Ala". Lineage: Eukaryota; Metazoa; Chordata; Mammalia; Rodentia; Sciuridae. The record is from RNAcentral.